RNAcentral lists this ribosomal RNA (429 nucleotides) under uncultured bacterium. RNAcentral's name for it is "bacterial SSU rRNA". It matches the Rfam family "Bacterial small subunit ribosomal RNA", at positions 355 to 776 of the family's 1533-position model. The record is from RNAcentral.
UAAGGAAUAUUGGUCAAUGAACGCAAGUCUGAACCAGCCAUGCCGCGUGAAGGAUGAAGGCCCUCUGGGUUGUAAACUUCUUUUAUCUGGGACGAAACAGCAGCUCUAACACAGUCUGCGAAUGACGGUACCUGAAGAAUAAGCACCGGCUAACUACGUGCCAGCAGCCGCGGUAAUACGUAGGGUGCGAGCGUUAAUCGGAAUUACUGGGCGUAGAGCGUGCGCAGGCGGUUUUGUAAGUCGGAUGUGAAAUCCCCGGGCUCAACCUGGGAACUGCGUUCGAAACUGCAAGGCUAGAGUGUGUCAGAGGGGGGUAGAAUUCCACGUGUAGCAGUGAAAUGCGUAGAUAUGUGGAGGAAUACCAAUGGCGAAGGCAGCCCCCUGGGAUAACACUGACGCUCAUGCACGAAAGCGUGGGGAGCAAACAGG